This 401-nucleotide ribosomal RNA is filed under the name uncultured bacterium. RNAcentral describes it as "bacterial SSU rRNA". It matches the Rfam family "Bacterial small subunit ribosomal RNA", at positions 28 to 430 of the family's 1533-position model. The record is from RNAcentral.
GAUAAACGCUGGCGGCGUGCCUUAUGCAUGCAAGUCGAACGAGAUCAAGGCUUCGGCCUGAAGUCUAGUGGCGGACGGGUGAGUAACACGUACGUGACCUGUCCGGAAGUGGGGAAUAACCAGCCGAAAGGUUGGCUAAUACCGCAUACGGUUACUGCUUGGAAGCAGCAAACCAAAGUCGCAAGACGCUUCCGGAGGGGCGUGCGGCCGAUUAGCUAGUUGGUGUGGUAACGGCGCACCAAGGCUUUGAUCGGUAGCUGGUCUGAGAGGAUGGUCAGCCACACUGGGACUGAGACACGGCCCAGACUCCUACGGGAGGCAGCAGUGGGGAAUAUUGGACAAUGGGCGCAAGCCUGAUCCAGCGAUGCCGCGUGUGUGAAGAAGGCCUGCGGGUUGUAAAG